AGAGUUUGAUCCUGGCUCAGAUUGAACGCUGGCGGCAUGCUUUACACAUGCAAGUCGAACGGCAGCACAGGGAGCUUGCUCCCGGGUGGCGAGUGGCGCACGGGUGAGUAAUACAUCGGAACGUGUCCUGUUGUGGGGGAUAACUGCUCGAAAGGGUGGCUAAUACCGCAUGAGACCUGAGGGUGAAAGCGGGGGAUCGCAAGACCUCGCGCAAUUGGAGCGGCCGAUGCCCGAUUAGCUAGUUGGUGAGGUAAAGGCUCACCAAGGCGACGAUCGGUAGCUGGUCUGAGAGGACGACCAGCCACACUGGGACUGAGACACGGCCCAGACUCCUACGGGAGGCAAGCA
Molecule: ribosomal RNA, 348 nt
Filed under: uncultured bacterium
Lineage: Bacteria
Description: bacterial SSU rRNA
Rfam family: Bacterial small subunit ribosomal RNA
Source: RNAcentral